CAAGAGCGUAUGUAAAAGUUGUUGCAGUUAAAAAGCUCGUAGUUGAACCUUGGGUUUGGUUGGCCGGUCCGCUUUUUUGCGAGUACUGGAUUCAACCGAGCCUUUCCUUCUGGCUAACCAGUCGUUUCGGCGGCUGGCGAACCAGGAUUUUUACUUUGAGAAAAUUAGAGUGUUCAAAGCAGGCAUUAGCUUGAAUAUAUUAGCAUGGAAUAAUAGAAUAGGACGUUAUGGUUCUAUUUUGUUGGUUUCUAGGACCAUCGUAAUGAUUAAUAGGGACGGUCGGGGGCAUCAGUAUUCAGUUGUCAGAGGUGAAAUUCUCGGAUUUACUGAAGACUAACUACUGCGAAAGCAUUUGCCAAGGACGUUUUCAUUAA
RNAcentral lists this ribosomal RNA (374 nucleotides) under uncultured eukaryote. RNAcentral describes it as "partial 18S ribosomal RNA". It matches the Rfam family "Eukaryotic small subunit ribosomal RNA", at positions 592 to 976 of the family's 1831-position model. The record is from RNAcentral.